Molecule: long non-coding RNA, 4995 nt
Organism: Vicugna pacos (alpaca)
Lineage: Eukaryota; Metazoa; Chordata; Mammalia; Artiodactyla; Camelidae
Source: RefSeq, a predicted model, not a curated record
GUCGGGCUCCAUGGCGUAUGGGCCCCCAGCCCCUGGCCCCACCUGAUUUAUGAACCGAGGCUGUCUCCAUGAGCGUCUGGGUUUCUCCUUUUGUAUUCCAUCUGGCGGCUUUUCCAACUAGAUGACUGGCCCGGCUGGAAACAUUAGAAGGGACCGAAGCAGCGAGAUGUCUAAAAUAGGAAGACGCCAGGGACGACUGGCCUGGCUGCCCGCGACGCUGGCUGCGGGGAUCUGGCCCGGCUGUGCAGAUGGAAAAGCUCAGAGACAUUUCCUGCAGUGUGGGGGAUGCAGAAAUUGACUCAUCCAUCCAUUCAGUCAGACGCUAGAUUUUUUUUUGAGCAUCUACUCCACGCCAGACACCGGGCCAGGUGCUGGGUUUGCAGUGGGGAGCAAGUGGCAGUGUCUCGUCUCUUGGAGCUCACAGGUAAACAGGUUUUGUGGUGAGUCAGGAAAAAAACCCAAGAAGCCUGGAAGCGUUUUACCGACAUGGCAGUGACGGCAGUCAUGCAAUUCAGCAAACUUUAGCCAGAGACUGUGCCAAGUGCUGGAGACACAGAAAUGAAUCAGAGUCCCUGCCCGCCCGCCGGUGAGGAUCUCCACGAGGAUAGAGGUGGGAGGGAGAAGAGGGACACCCAAGGCAUCUGCCAGGAGCGGGCGGGUCAGCAGCGUGAACGCCCCCUGCUGGCCACAGGGAGGGUUGGAAGCGAUCUUUCAGGAUGGCUCGUUCCAUCCUCUGAUUUUUGUUAUCAGCCACCAAGUGCUGCGGGGUGGGCUGAGCCACCAUUCACCCAGCCGUCCUCUACUGAGGGACGUCCGGGCUGGUCCCUGUCUUACAUGAUUACAAGCCGUGCUGCUGUGACCCUCAGCACACACAUCUAUCUCUGUACACCAGCGUUAGUAUUGUUGGAUUCUCGGAAGCAGAAUUGCUGUGUCAAAAGACAUGAGAACUUAAAAUCUGGAUUAGUGUGGCUUACUGGAGCAGCUUCCCCUCACGGCUGGUAAGAAGCACUGCAAAUUCUCCGGGGCCUGGAGAAGUCCUGUAGGGGCCUUUCAGGAUCUGGGACCUCAGCAUCUCAGGUGCUCCAGAAUGACUCUGGGGCUCAGGUGUCUCCAAGUAGAUGGACCUGCCUCUUCCUACAGAGUCAGACCCAGGGCAAUACUGCCCAAUCAACUUGUUGGUCCAUCCCUCCAUCCAGCUAUCCGAGCAUCCAUCCAUCCAUUCAUUACUCACUCAUCCAUCCAAGCAUCCAUCCACCAUUCCAUCCACCCACCCACCCCUCCAUCCAUCACUCACCCAUCCAAGCAUCUAUCCAUCCACCUUCCCAGCGACCCACCCACCCACCCAUCCAUCCAUUUAGUAUUUGGUGAGCACUGAUGAUGGCUUCGGUACUCUGCUGCUGGUGGUGAAUACAAUCAUAUUCCUGCCUUUUUAGUCUUCACUGUCUGGUGAAGGCAGGUCUACACAUGCCAGGUACUGAGAAUACAGCAGGAAACACAAGAGGAAAACAGUCCCUGCUUUCCAGGGUUUACAUUCUAGUGGAAGAGAUGGAUAACAAACACAUACACAAACGUGGUAUGUGGGGGGAUGAUAAGGGUUCAUGAGGGAGAUAAGGCAGAGUGAAGGGGGUAGGAAGCCCUGGGAGUCAGGCUGUGUGUCAUCUGGUCAGAGGAGGCCUCUCUGAGCAGAUGCCCAGGGCAGUGAUGGAGGGAGCUGUGCAGAUACUGGGGGGCAGGGGUAGUGUCAAAGGCAGAGGGAACAGCCAGUGCAAAGGCUCUGAGGCAGGGAUGUUCAGUAACAGCCGAGGAGGCCAGCAUGGGGGUGGCGGGAGACCAGGUCAGCUCCCAAAGGUCUUGUCGGCAGGGAAGGGCUUAACUGUUACUGAGUGAGGAGGGGCCUGUGGAAAGUCUGGGGCAGAGGGAGGUUGGUUGCCGGGUUGGGCAUAGAUCACAGGGGGCCAGGGCUGAAGCAGGGACAAGGGUCAGGAGGCCAACGAGAGAUUUUGGACCACAUGGUUGGGUGGAGGUGUGAGGAGGGUGGGGAGGGGUAUAUUUUGAAGGUAGCCACAGGCUUUCCUCAUGGACUGGAUAAACAGGAGUGAAGGACAACACCGAGGUUUUUGGCCUCAUGAACCAGAAGAAUGGGGACGAGGGAAGAGGAGCAGGUGGAGGAAGGGAGUUUGAACCGAGAGCUUGAUCUGAACGUGGGUAGUUGGAUGUGCAUGUUAGCCAUCAGGCAGAGAGGUGAGGAGCAGCCCGUGGGGUGCAGCCUGGGGUUGGGGGACAGGUCCAGGCUGAAGACAGAAACAUGGGGCUGUCAGCGUGCACAUGCCUGGAUGCCAGCCCCAAGAGACAGAGAAAAUGGAGUAGAGGUCUGGGGGCCCAUUCCUGGGGCGCCCCAUCAUUAAGAGGGCAGGGAGAUGAGGAAGAACCUGUCAAGAGAACAGGGAAGGAGCAGCCAGUGAGCAGGAGGAGGAGGACACGGAGGGCGGGGACUGGGAGCCAAGGGGAGGAGGGAUUUCAACCCCGGGGGGCAUGACUGCUGUGUCAGGGGAUGCUGAGUACCCGCGUGAGCUGGGGGCACAACACUGACCGCUGGGUUUGGCAACAUAGUGCCACCUGGGCAGAGACGGGGGAACUCAGGUAAUUGUGGGAGCCCCAAGGAAGGGCACUGAACAAGGAGGGCUUCCUGGAGGAAGGGGUGUCCAACUGGGAGUCUGAGGGACACAUAUACAUUCGCCAGGUAGAAAGGGGAUGUCCCCACUGAGCAAUCAGUACAAGGCCAGGAGGCGAGAGUAGUCACAGCUUGUUUGAGAAACUGAAGAUAAGUCUGGCUGUAAUAUGGGGUGCGGGAUGGGUGAGAUGGAGGGGGGUGUUAUCCUCACAGGACCCUAGAGAGGUCAGCAAGGCUGAUGGUGGGGUCCUUGAUUAGAGACCAGGCUUCGGUGGCAGAAGAAUGGGUGGGAAAGGGAGGAAGGGGGUGGUGGCUGGGGGAAUGGGGAGCCAGGAUGAGAAGUGAUUUGGGGAAGGGUGAUGAAUUCAGGUAAAUUUAGGGUGCUGAGGACGCUCAGGGGGAGACCUCCAGCAUCAUUGGGGCCCGUGGGCUGGGCACUGGGGUCUGGGAAGUGACCAUAAGUUCAGGGAGGAUGCUGGGAAGAGCUGGGUGGAGCUGAACCACACACUCAACUCUUUCCUGGUGCUGCCUGCCCGAGGUCAGCCUGUGUCCAGCCGCCCUCUGUGUGCUGGGAAGGGACCCCGGCAGCCUCCGGUCAUUGUGGCUUGUUCUUCCAGAGAGCAGGAGCCCAAGGGGAGCCCAGUGGUUCCUCUGGAUGGGCUGUUAUGUGCCUUGUCCCUCCCAUCUCCAUCCCAACCACAAGGCGCCUUUGUCACGCCCCUCGGGCACCUCAAAAGGAAGGGGCCCCCACUAUUUGCUGCAUGCCCAUAAACAUCGAUUCAUGGAACAGUAAUUUAUGGAGCACCUACUAGGUGCCAUCCUGGCCCUGGGAAAGCAAUGAUGACCCAGGCAGACAGGCCUCUGCCCUCCAGGGGCCCACCAUCCAACAGGAGAGGCAAGCAAUCCAUAUAGAAUUAGAUCAAGUGUUGUAUUAGAAGAGGGAGGCGGGGGACCCUUAGGGAUCAGAAGGGCUUCUAGCAGGAGACAACAUUUAAAGUAUAGGUCUGAAGGAUGAGUCAGAGUUAGCCAAGAAAAAAGGGGGGUGGACAAGAGUUUGAGGGAAUGGGAAUAGCAUGCAGAAGGCUCAGAGGUGAGAGAGAAUGACAAGUGGGAGGGAAAGAAAGGAUUCAGUGUGAUGGAGCAGGGGGUGCCUUGCGGUGGUGGUGGGUUGGGGUGUGCUGGUGGUGAAGAACCUCAGGAGGCAGGCUGAGGACCGUGGACCUUCUUCUGAGGGCAAUGGGGAGCCAUGGAGUGUCUUAAGCCGGCAGGGACUUGCUCAGGUUAAUCUGUGGGUGAAUUUGGAGACAGAGACCAGAAACACUCAGUCUCAGUCCAGGAUUAUCUCAUCCAAGGCUAGACACCCCCCUCCACCCUCUUGUAGCUCCCUUACAGGUUUGAACCCCUCCAGGGACCUAGAACUCACUACUUCAGGAGACAAGUCCUCAAGAUGAUUUAACAAGCUCCGUGAGAGCUCCACAAGCAGGCUCUGGGAGUCCAGUCUGGUCACUGGGAUACCCGCGAGCUUUUAACUCAGCGCGGCGAGGCGCGAGGUGGGCUGCGAAGCACCGCGGCGUGGAUAAUAGCCUGGCAGCUGGCGUUGAAAGGCUCCGGAGCCACCUACGGGGGCGAUUGGCUUGUUGCGUGCGAGCGCUCCGGAUGCCACCUGGUAAGGCUGUCGGCAGGAUGCUGAAGAAAUAAAUCUGUUCAUGAAGAUGCGCCGCCUCCUCCCCACCGCGCAGCACCCCACUCCCUCCCACCACCACUCCCGCCUCUUCCGGGGGCGGCUGAACCUGCCCCGCAGCGCCACCGUGUGGGCAAAGCGGGUCAGGACAGCAGGAGAUCGGUCACUCUGCUCCAGGUGCUAAGCGCUGGGCAGAGGAAAAGAAUCCCAUCCUAAAUGGCCUUUUCAGGCUGCAAGGCACACCAGGUCCUAUUCUUACUGAAUUAAAAAAAUUAUUUCUUCAGAAUGGAACUAUAUUUGCGGCCUGCUUGCGAUUCUUAAUCAUUUAAGUAAUACAUACUUACUGAAAAAAUAUGCAAUCUCCAUAGCUGGCAGAAAUUGAUCAUUUCCUCCCAGCAUUCAUCCUCCCCAGCCCCCUACUGAUUGCAUUUUGGCAAAUAGGCUUCUGGAUUUUUUUUUCUACAGGAAUAUAUAUAUAUAUUUCUAUUUGUCUUACUUAUUUUCUGUUUCCUUUAUUUCUUAUAUACACAUACAUGCAAAUGAGAUCAUAUUAUGUGUGCCUGAUGUUUUGCCAUUUGCUUUGCUUUUUAAAUUUGUUUUUGUCAACUGUUGAGCAGAGACAAAAGAAUAUUUAUCUAACACA